GGAAUGGGCCCGCGGCCUAUUAGUCAGUCGGAGGGGUAACGGCCCCCCGAGGUGAUUAUGGGUAGCCGGGUUGAGAGACCGACCGGCCAGAUUGGGACUGAGACACGGCCCAGACUCCUACGGGAGGCAGCAGUGGGGAAUCUUGCGCAAUGGGCGGAAGCCUGACGCAGCGACGCCGCGUGCGGGACGAAGGCCUUCGGGUCGUAAACCGCUUUCAGCAGGGACGAGGCCCUCACGGUGACGGUACCUGCAGAAGAAGCCCCGGCUAACUACGUGCCAGCAGCCGCGGUAAUACGUAGGGGGCGAGCGUUAUCCGGAUUCAUUGGGCGUAAAGCGCGCGUAGGCGGCCUGUUAGGUCGGGGGUCAAAUACCGGGGCUCAACCCCGGUCCGCCCCCGAUACCGGCAGGCUUGAGUCUGGUAGGGGAAGGCGGAAUUCCCAGUGUAGCGGUGGAAUGCGCAGAUAUUGGGAAGAACACCGGCGGCGAAGGCGGCCUUCUGGGCCACGACUGACGCUGAGGCGCGAAAGCUAGGGGAGCGAACAGGAUUAGAUACCCUGGUAGUCCUAGCCGUAAACGAUGGACGCUAGGUGUUGGGGG
RNAcentral lists this ribosomal RNA (597 nucleotides) under uncultured bacterium. RNAcentral describes it as "bacterial SSU rRNA". It matches the Rfam family "Bacterial small subunit ribosomal RNA", at positions 222 to 829 of the family's 1533-position model. The record is from RNAcentral.